Molecule: ribosomal RNA, 253 nt
Filed under: uncultured Pseudomonadaceae bacterium
Lineage: Bacteria; Pseudomonadati; Pseudomonadota; Gammaproteobacteria; Pseudomonadales; Pseudomonadaceae
Description: partial 16S ribosomal RNA
Rfam family: Bacterial small subunit ribosomal RNA
Source: RNAcentral
UACGAAGGGUGCAAGCGUUAAUCGGAAUUACUGGGCGUAAAGCGCGCGUAGGUGGCUUGAUAAGUUGGAUGUGAAAUCCCCGGGCUCAACCUGGGAACUGCAUCCAAAACUGUCUGGCUAGAGUGCGGUAGAGGGUAGUGGAAUUUCCAGUGUAGCGGUGAAAUGCGUAGAUAUUGGAAGGAACACCAUUGGCGAAGGCGACUACCUGGACUGACACUGACACUGAGGUGCGAAAGCGUGGGGAGCAAACAGG